This 440-nucleotide ribosomal RNA is filed under the name uncultured bacterium. RNAcentral describes it as "partial 16S ribosomal RNA". It matches the Rfam family "Bacterial small subunit ribosomal RNA", at positions 338 to 795 of the family's 1533-position model. The record is from RNAcentral.
CCUACGGGAGGCAGCAGUGGGGAAUAUUGCACAAUGGGGGAAACCCUGAUGCAGCGACGCCGCGUGAGUGAAGAAGUAUUUCGGGAUGUAAAGCUCUGUCAGCAGGGAAGAAAAUGACGAUACCUGACCAAGAAGCUCCGGCUAACUACGUGCCAGCAGCCGCGGUAAUACGGAGGGGGCGAGCGUUAUCCGGAUUUACGGGGUGGAAAGUGCACGUAGACGGCAGGGCAAGUCUAGAGUGAAAGGCGAGGGCUCAACCUCAGGACUGCUAUGGAAACUGCCAGGCUGGAGUACAAGAGAGGAAAGUGGAAUUCCUAGUGUAGCGGUGAAAUGCGUAGAUAUUAGGAGGAAUACCAGUGGCGAAGGCGGCUAACUGGCUUGUAACUGACGUUGAGGUUCGAAAGCGUGGGGAGCAAACAGGAUUAGAUACCCCAGUAGUC